Molecule: ribosomal RNA, 695 nt
Filed under: Ficophagus auriculatae
Lineage: Eukaryota; Metazoa; Nematoda; Chromadorea; Rhabditida; Aphelenchoididae
Description: partial 28S ribosomal RNA
Rfam family: Eukaryotic large subunit ribosomal RNA
Source: RNAcentral
CGUUAUAGUGGAGCAGAUGGAGCCGACGUAUCCAGCACGUAUUUAGCCAUUGCCGUGUAUGAUUCGCCCGUUUUGAAGUUCUGUCAAGGUGUUCGGCGGGCGAUUGUUGUACGAUGGCGGUGGUGCAUUUGCGUGUAGAGUGCGCCGAAUCAGUGGGGUUUGCUGCUCGAAGUUUGGUUUUGAGAGGAUCAAUCCUAUGCGGUUGAAAACCUCGACGAACGGGCGGCGGACGAACCCGACUGCCAUGCAAAAGGUUCAUUGAUUAUGAGGCGGCUGAGCGGGCGGCAUCGUUGUUCGAAUGGGACGCAUGCGUCACUUUGAAUGGGAAGUCGCUUGUGCGGUAGUUUCUCAGUGGACAUUCGGUGUGUAGUCGGUGACCUAUUUGACCCGUCUUGAAACACGGACCAAGGAGUUUAAGGUGUGCGCGAGUGAUUGAGUGGCGAAAACUUAAAAGCGUAAUGAAAGUGGGACACUUGGUGUCUGUGAUGCGACCUGUGAGGGUGUUUUACAUUUGUUCAGGGCAGCAUCGACCCAUGACUAGGAACAUGUUCUGUUGUGGAGUCUGAGCGCACGCUUUGAGACCCGAAAGAUGGUGAACUAUGCCCGAACAGGACGAAGUCAGAGGAAACUCUGAUGGAAGUCCGAAGCGGUUCUGACGUGCAAAUCGAUCGUCUGAUUUGGGUAUAGGGCGCAGA